Labrus mixtus (cuckoo wrasse) is the source of this 510-nucleotide long non-coding RNA. RefSeq lists it as uncharacterized. The transcript has 2 exons. The record is from RefSeq and is a predicted model, not a curated record. Lineage: Eukaryota; Metazoa; Chordata; Actinopteri; Labriformes; Labridae.
AACAAACCUACAAAUAUUUGCACAUAGAAAUAACAGCAAAAGCAAAAACCAAUAACCAAACUAACAAAAAAACAGAAACAAGUCAAAACAGUGAAACAUUAGAAAAGACACAACACAUCAAUCAUACAGGCGAUAGAUUGAAAUGAGAUAUGUUGACUUCUGAACUUUUUUAUGUAUACACACAUACAUAUACAUUCAUACACACUCAUGCAAUAUUUGAGAAGAACUGAAAAGAGGGGUCUCACAGGAACAUCGGGGGGUCAGGCAAGAGACCCCCUCCACCUGACCCACGGCCCCCAUCAGCAGCUGACAGCCACAUCAGGAUACAGACUGGACGGGUUAGAUUAGAUUUCUUUCACUUGAUUGAGAAGGUUGUGGAUUGUUGUUGAUUAUAUUUAUUUUGGAUUUAACUAUUUUUUUUAAAUUGUUGAUAUCGGAGGAACUGGUCCCUCCCAACCCGUAUUUCUGGAUGAAUGUAUUGAAUGAUAUAAAUUGGUCGUUUUAAGGAGA